Molecule: ribosomal RNA, 894 nt
Filed under: uncultured delta proteobacterium
Lineage: Bacteria; Deltaproteobacteria
Description: bacterial SSU rRNA
Rfam family: Bacterial small subunit ribosomal RNA
Source: RNAcentral
AACGAACGCUGGCGGCGCGCUUAACACAUGCAAGUCGAACGGUCCCGAUAAAGUCCCGUAAGGUGAUACUGGGGUAGUGGCAAACGGGUGAGUAACACGUGGAUAAUCUACCUUUGAGUGGGGGAUAACUCUGCGAAAGUGGAGCUAAUACCGCGUAAGACUACAGAAUCGCAUGAUUACGUAGUAAAAGGUUUCUGAUUUUCGGAGGUCGCUCAGGGAUGAGUCCGCGCCUGAUUAGCUAGUUGGUAGGGUAAUAGCCUACCAAGGCAACGAUCAGUAGCCGGCCUGAAAGGGUGUUCGGCCACACUGGAAUUGAGAUACGGUCCAGACUCCUACGGGAGGCAGCAGUGGGGAAUCUUGCGCAAUGGGGGAAACCCUGACGCAGUGACGCCGCGUGAACGAUGAAGUUCUUCGGGAUGUAAAGUUCUGUCAGGCGGGAAGAACCCCCUCGAUUGCAUCGAGGGAAUGACGGUACCGUCAGAGGAAGCACUGGCUAAUUCCGUGCCAGCAGCCGCGGUAACACGGAGAGUGCAAGCGUUGUUCGGAAUUACUAGGCGUAAAGAGCGUGUAGGUGGUUAGCUAAGCCGGAUGUGAAAAUUCCAAGCUCAACUUGGAACCUGCAUUCGAAACUGGUUAACUUGAGUGUAGGAGAGGAGGGCGGAAUUCCUAGUGUAGCGGUGAAAUGCGUAGAUAUUAGGAAGAACACCGGUGGCGAAGGCGGCUCUCUGGCCUAAAACUGACACUGAGACGCGAAAGCGUGGGUAGCGAACAGGAUUAGAUACCCUGGUAGUCCACGCCGUAAACGAUGGGCAUUAGGUGUAGGAGGUAUCCAAUCCUUCUGUGCCGAAGUUAACGCAUUAAAUGCCCCGCCUGGGGAGUACGACCGCAAGGUUG